RNAcentral lists this ribosomal RNA (253 nucleotides) under uncultured bacterium. Its description in RNAcentral is "partial 16S ribosomal RNA". It matches the Rfam family "Bacterial small subunit ribosomal RNA", at positions 524 to 776 of the family's 1533-position model. The record is from RNAcentral.
UACGUAGGGUGCAAGCGUUAAUCGGAAUUACUGGGCGUAAAGCGUGCGCAGGCGGUGAUGUAAGACAGAUGUGAAAUCCCCGGGCUCAACCUGGGAACUGCAUUUGUGACUGCAUCGCUGGAGUGCGGCAGAGGGGGAUGGAAUUCCGCGUGUAGCAGCGAAAUGCGUAGAUAUGCGGAGGAACACCGAUGGCGAAGGCAAUCCCCUGGGCCUGCACUGACGCUCAUGCACGAAAGCGUGGGGAGCAAACAGG